Molecule: ribosomal RNA, 384 nt
Filed under: Triticum aestivum (bread wheat)
Lineage: Eukaryota; Viridiplantae; Streptophyta; Magnoliopsida; Poales; Poaceae
Description: partial small subunit ribosomal RNA
Source: RNAcentral
ACCUGGACACUAGGCGACUUCCUCGCAGCAGCUACCAAGCAGAUCGACUCCGCCCUAUCGACCUCGGGGAGGCGGCAAAUGCGAUGCCCGCCCAACUUCACCCCUCGGCGUGGGCGAUCCGCCUCGUCCAUGACAUGCAAGAGUGCAGCUCCGCCCAUGGCAGAAAGACACGCUCAAAUCCACAUCCUACGCACUCUCGGGAUCAUCGGACUUGACCAGAAGAUCACGGCUGCGGAGAUGCAAACUUACGAUGGGCUCUUCGCGACGCCUCUCCCCAUGUCUGUCCUCUCGGCCAUCGCCGCACUGGUCGAUCGCGAGCUCCCCAUCGAUCCUGCAAUUGCGUCGAUCACCACAGUGAUCGUGGGCAGCCUGAUCGAGGCCUAG